RNAcentral lists this transfer RNA (66 nucleotides) under Dipodomys ordii (Ord's kangaroo rat). It matches the Rfam family "tRNA". Rfam says of the family: Transfer RNA (tRNA) molecules are approximately 80 nucleotides in length. Their secondary structure includes four short double-helical elements and three loops (D, anti-codon, and T loops). Further hydrogen bonds mediate the characteristic L-shaped molecular structure. tRNAs have two regions of fundamental functional importance: the anti-codon, which is responsible for specific mRNA codon recognition, and the 3' end, to which the tRNAs corresponding amino acid is attached (by aminoacyl-tRNA synthetases). tRNAs cope with the degeneracy of the genetic code in two manners: having more than one tRNA (with a specific anti-codon) for a particular amino acid; and 'wobble' base-pairing, i.e. permitting non-standard base-pairing at the 3rd anti-codon position. Lineage: Eukaryota; Metazoa; Chordata; Mammalia; Rodentia; Heteromyidae. The record is from Rfam by way of RNAcentral.
GGUGUGGCUUAGGUGGUAGAGUGCCUAUCUGGCAAACAUGAGGCCCUGAGUUCAAUCCUCAGUACC